Molecule: long non-coding RNA, 218 nt
Organism: Sinocyclocheilus rhinocerous
Lineage: Eukaryota; Metazoa; Chordata; Actinopteri; Cypriniformes; Cyprinidae
Exons: 3
Source: RefSeq, a predicted model, not a curated record
ACCUCGAGACCCUGAAGAGGGAGAACAAGAAUCUGCAACAGGAGAUUUCUGACCUCUCUGAGCAGCUUGGAGAGACUGGAAAGAGCAUUCAUGAGAUAGAGAAAGCCAAGAAGACAGUGGAGUCCGAGAAAGCAGAGAUCCAGACUGCACUAGAAGAAGCCGAGGGCACCCUAGAGCAUGAAGAGUCCAAGAUUCUUCGUGUGCAGCUGGAGCUGAAC